This 219-nucleotide long non-coding RNA is filed under the name Elaeis guineensis (African oil palm). RNAcentral describes it as "long non-coding RNA (EGUI_LNC005811)". The record is from RNAcentral. Lineage: Eukaryota; Viridiplantae; Streptophyta; Magnoliopsida; Arecales; Arecaceae.
UCGCCCCUAUCAAUUCCACAUGGUCUCCACCCUGUGCCCAAUUUUUGUCAACAUGUGCUGGCAUCAUCUUUAUGUAUGGCUAUACAAAUUAAUCCUUAGCAGCUUUACUCCUUGCCUACAGGUCCUUUUUUUGGGGCCCAUAUGCUCCGACCAAUCCAUCAAGUCAUGCAGUUUCAGAGACGUUUUAACAUUCAAGCAGAAAUUUUAAAAACUGGCAAG